RNAcentral lists this ribosomal RNA (497 nucleotides) under uncultured bacterium. RNAcentral describes it as "partial 16S ribosomal RNA". It matches the Rfam family "Bacterial small subunit ribosomal RNA", at positions 28 to 507 of the family's 1533-position model. The record is from RNAcentral.
GAUGAACGCUGGCGGCGUGCCUAAUACAUGCAAGUCGAGCGAACAGACGAGGAGCUUGCUCCUCUGACGUUAGUGGCGGACGGGUGAGUAACACGUGGAUAACCUACCUAUAAGACUGGGAUAACUUCGGGAAACCGGAGCUAAUACCGGAUAAUAUAUUGAACCGCAUGGUUCAAUAGUGAAAGACGGUUUUGCUGUCACUUAUAGAUGGAUCCGCGCCGCAUUAGCUAGUUGGUAAGGUAACGGCUUACCAAGGCAACGAUGCGUAGCCGACCUGAGAGGGUGAUCGGCCACACUGGAACUGAGACACGGUCCAGACUCCUACGGGAGGCAGCAGUAGGGAAUCUUCCGCAAUGGGCGAAAGCCUGACGGAGCAACGCCGCGUGAGUGAUGAAGGUCUUCGGAUCGUAAAACUCUGUUAUUAGGGAAGAACAAAUGUGUAGGUAACUAUGCACGUCUUGACGGUACCUAAUCAGAAAGCCACGGCUAACUACGUG